CAAACGGCCGGAAUACGCGGCCGAAGACCAGCGGCGCCGCCGCGCCCCCUCUCGGUUUUUGCCUCCGACGAGGCCCUUCCCGGCCUCCCGAGGGCCUUAGGGUUGUUUUCUCACAGGGACCGAUGCGAGUGUGGCCGAAUUCGGCCGAAAACAGCCAACCCGAGGCGACUCGCCGCCGCCAGCGGCGGCGCCGUCGCCGGAGCACGGCGGAGCCGCCGUGCCAGAGUUGCGAUUUGGGCCGAAAGAGGCCCUGGGCCUAAUUUGGGUUUUUUUUGGAACACGUGCAGGUACUGUUAGUGUGUUUCAGUUCCCCGGGAAAAAUUCAGGGAAAAUUAGGGACGGCCUGUAGGCGAACUGUGAAUCGUAUUCGGAUCCCGAAAACAAGUAAGGACUCCUCACCCUAUUUCCUAUCACGGUAUUAAAGUUCAAAAUGAUAAAACGGUAUUUCUUGAAUUAACGCAUGUGUGAAAUUGCUUAAGGUUGCUAAUG
Molecule: long non-coding RNA, 489 nt
Filed under: Carica papaya (papaya)
Lineage: Eukaryota; Viridiplantae; Streptophyta; Magnoliopsida; Brassicales; Caricaceae
Description: long non-coding RNA (CPAP_LNC014567)
Source: RNAcentral